This 1028-nucleotide long non-coding RNA is filed under the name Macaca fascicularis (crab-eating macaque). RNAcentral's name for it is "lncRNA (ENSMFAG00000060746.1)". Lineage: Eukaryota; Metazoa; Chordata; Mammalia; Primates; Cercopithecidae. The record is from RNAcentral.
CAAAGGUCUGUGGCGGCCAGUCCCAGUGCCUUUGGCUCUCACCACAGCGGUUCCUGGUCCGGGCUCCUGCCCCUCCCGCACGUGCCACGGAGGUGCCAGCAGGGCGAGGGGUCUGCCCCCCGGCAUGCCCACCAGAGGGCCAGGGAGUGGUUUGCGUGCGCCAGGCAGCUCUGCAUUAUGGCCAGGGUCAGGGAGCCGGGUUCUGGGGUCUGUUCACCUGCUCUUGUCCUCCCCCUCCCCGUCCAGGACUGGUCCUCUGGCUGGAGAGGCCAGGCGAGGCCAGGGGCACCUGGUGCCGGUGCCAUCCGUGCAGGAGAUGCCCCAGGCACUCACGCAGCUCACGCACACCACCCCAAGGAGGGUCUACCAUCUCCCUGCUGUCCGUCCCACUGCUGGGACCUGCAGCCCUCCAGCCAAAGCGCUUCGCUGCCCAGGUCCUAGUGGACAGGUUUACCGGGGCCUUUCCGGUUUUACGUGCUGCAAAUCUAGUGACUUGGGAAACCACUUCCAGGGCUUGGAGCCCAAUCCCUUGGGCCUGCCCUUCCUUGGCAGCCGUGCGCCAUGGGUUCUAUUGUAUCUGUUUGAUCCCAGGGCAGCAGCCAAAUGAAGAAGGGAGUGACUGCCCUUCAGGCAGUGGGCCCAGAUGUUCUGUGGGUCCUGCCUGCUCUGCCAGCCGCAUGCUCAACUCCUGUUCACACAGCUUCAGCUCCUUUCCAAACACACAGAGGGGCUUGUGGUUGGUUUUCAGGCCAGGUUCACCCAUCCAGCCAAGUCUGGGAGGCCACCUUGCAGUGAGUGGGGCACAAAACUGUCCAGACUUCCUGUACCACCCUGAGUUGGUCAGUGUUCUGCUUGUCAGCCUGGCACUUGUCAGGGACCAAGAAGAAAUGGCCCCAGGGGCUUUUCCCUGGUCAGACAGAAUUCCUAAAAUAUCUUUACAGGAGUUAUUUCAUUUACUCCUCACCAGAACUCUGAGACAGGUAUUAACAUUAUCCUGAUUUGCCUCAUGAGGCUCAGAGAGAUUAAGA